Molecule: long non-coding RNA, 433 nt
Organism: Rhinopithecus roxellana (golden snub-nosed monkey)
Lineage: Eukaryota; Metazoa; Chordata; Mammalia; Primates; Cercopithecidae
Exons: 3
Source: RefSeq, a predicted model, not a curated record
CCCCGCCCAGGCCCCUUUUAAACUUGAUCUCCGCGGUGCUCUCCCCUUUAGGCCACGACGCGUGACUGGGCUUGGUGGAGUUUCAAGAUGCUGAUGAACUUAAGGUCUGGCGCUUGAAAGAAUCAGUGAAGCUUUUCAAGUAGAGGAGAUAUAUUUGAAUAUGUAACCUUUAGUAUCUACAGAACACAGGUUGCUUUUUUUUUUUUGGUCCCUUUCAUAGUGGUAGCAAGGGUGAAUUUUGAGAUGGCCCCAAUCUAUAGGAAUAUUAUCUGACAGUUUGGAGGCACAAAACUGCCUUAUCACUGAGUGGAUCCUGUAGAAAAUUUCUAUGCAAUUCAAUUCAAUUUUUUUUUUUUUUUUUGAGACGGAGUCUUGCUUUGUCACCCAGGCUGGAGUGCAGUGGUGUGAUCAGGCUCACUGCAAGCUCCACCUC